This 256-nucleotide unclassified non-coding RNA is filed under the name rhizosphere metagenome. RNAcentral describes it as "partial ribosomal RNA internal transcribed spacer region". The record is from RNAcentral.
GUAGGUGAACCUGCGGAAGGAUCAUUAUUGAGAGGGGUCCUUAGGACCCCGGGGGUUUCGGCCCCCAACUCUUCACCCGGUGUUUACCUACCUUUGUUGCUUUGGCGGGCCUUGGGGUUCGCCCCAUCCCGGCCACGGGCCCCGCAGCCCGGGCCAGGCCGUGCCCGUCAGGGGUCCAUCAAACUCUGUUCUACCAGUGCUGUCCGAGUGAAAACCACAAUAGUAAAAACUUUCAACAACGGAUCUCUUGGUUCUG